AUUUAGUAUUUAAACAUUAAAAAAAUACGAAGUGUUCAUGUUUUGUACGUUUUAUUUCAAUCCGAUAAUCAUAAUUGUUAUUAGUUUUUACACUUUAGAAGUUCAUUGCCGUAUCAUUAUAUGCGACCUAAACGUAAAAACAAAUUAUUAUAAUUGUUGAUUCGUAAUGUGAUAACUCAUUCUGCCGACUAAGAUCGUUUCAAAUGUAUCCACACAAUCAAUGGACAUAUUUUAUAGUGGCCGCUUUACCAUAAAAUAAUUGACGGCGAUUGCUCUAUUAAAAUGUUUAGCUAAGCCUUAUGUUUCUCAAUACCGCAUCAAACUGGUCCGUCAAAACAACUUUUAACAAUGUUUAAAUAGUUAAUUUAAAAAAGGUGUCGAAAAUAUGUGUCGUAUUUUCUCACUAUUGAAUAUUAUUAGCUACGAAAACGGGACAUGUCCUAUGUUAAGACGAGGACAACUUCUCGAAAUUGCCGAUUCAUUUAUACUUUAAACAGAACAAGCAGUUUUUUUGGUAUAAAUUCUACCUACAACAGAACAACACUAUCUUAAAUAACCUCAAAAGAUUUACCAUGAUCACCAGAUGUAUGGUUCAUGGCAAGUUACUAACUUUCCAACCGUCUUAUAGAACUUUCCGGGCAUUUGCAAUUUCUACUCUUUCGUUGAACGUCCUUUUUCCAAAAUUAAUUAAUUUGUAUAUUGUGUUUACUUUGUCGAACUGUUCGCUGUUUUUCAUAACCGAAAAUAUUUAACAUCAAGUUCGACAAAAUAAAAAUAUUAAACAAAGAAACUUAUCUUGGAAAAAGCGUUCAAAGAAGCAAUAGCAAUUAAAAAAAUCCUAAAGAAAAGAAGUACAUGGCUCAUAUUAUGAAGUUAUUUGAAAGAAAAAAGAAACAAAUCAAACCAACUGACCACUACCAAUUAACAGCAGAAACAGCUGUUGAUCCAUCAUAACUUCGCCGAGAAAACACUGUUGCAACCACAGACAUAAUAAUUACCGGUAGGAAACAAGUGAUGCACGCAGUAUAGUCACGAAAGUUCAACGGUGAGAGAUCUCUGAAGAUGGAUCAUCAAUGUGUUUAAAAAGCCACUUUCACGUAACUAAUAACAACACGGAUAGAUCCGAAAAUCACCAAACUAAUAGUCCAGUCCGCGAUAAUGUUUAUUAUUUUCUCUAAUAAUCUAAGUUAUUAUUUAAAAAAAAAAAUGUAGUUAACAUUUAGACGGCCUUGUAUUAAUCGUGUUUAAAUUGUUCUAUUAUUACUCGAAGUAAUCAUUUUAAUUAAGAUUCACCUAUUGGACGAGAACUGGCAAGAACGCAAAAUGUAUUUAUAAUAAAGCCUGACCAAGAUAUGCUCUAUCCCAUAUAAAAGCGACAGAGUGUGCAGAAACCAA
This is a long non-coding RNA of Adelges cooleyi (spruce gall adelgid), 1395 nucleotides long. RefSeq lists it as uncharacterized. The record is from RefSeq and is a predicted model, not a curated record. The transcript is spliced from 3 exons. NCBI's taxonomy places the organism in Eukaryota, Metazoa, Arthropoda, Insecta, Hemiptera, Adelgidae.